CCUACGGGAGGCAGCAGUGGGGAAUAUUGCACAAUGGGGGAAACCCUGAUGCAGCGACGCCGCGUGAGUGAAGAAGUAUCUCGGUACGUAAAGCUCUAUCAGCAGGAAAGAAAAUGACGGUACCUGACUAAGAAGCCCCGGCUAACUACGUGCCAGCAGCCGCGGUAAUACGUAGGGGGCAAGCGUUAUCCGGAUUUACUGGGUGUAAAGGGAGCGUAGACGGCGCUGCAAGUCCGGAGUGAAAGCCCAUGGCUUAACCAUGGUACUGCUCUGGAAACUGUAGAGCUUGAGUGCGGGAGGGGCAGGCGGAAUUCCUAGUGGAGCGGUGAAAUGCGGAGAUAUUAGGAGGAACAACGGCGGCGAAGGCGGACUGCUGGACCGUAACUGACGUUGAGGCUCGAAAGCGUGGGGAGCAAACAGGAGUAGAUACCCCAGUAGUC
RNAcentral lists this ribosomal RNA (440 nucleotides) under uncultured bacterium. Its description in RNAcentral is "partial 16S ribosomal RNA". It matches the Rfam family "Bacterial small subunit ribosomal RNA", at positions 338 to 795 of the family's 1533-position model. The record is from RNAcentral.